UUCAUGUUCACUCCAUCGUCCUUCUCACUAAAAAUAACUCCCUUUCUUCUAAGCAAAGUAGUGAUUCUUCUCUACUCUAAACAAGUUUCCUUGUCUUAAUUAUGCUUCUUUUACAACCCCUUUUCAAGAUUCUAUCAGUUUCUUCCUUUAAAAAUUGUAAUUUUCUUGCUCUUUUUUAUAUGUUAAAUUUUAUUUUUGGUCCAUUUUGAUGAUGUUUAUGUAUGAAAUACUGAAAAAAUUGAAUUUUUAAGUGAUGGGGCGCUUGAUUUUUUUUGUAUAGAAUAUUUUUAUGUGAUGCAUUUUCAGAAUUUUAAGAUUUUUUUCCUUUAAAAACUGUAAUUUUUUUGCUCUUUUUUAUCUGUAGAAUGAAAUUUUUGGUCCAUUUUGAUGAUUUUUAUGUUUGGAAUAGUGAAAAUACUCUUUUUUUUGUGAUGCAACUUUUAGAAUUUAAAGGUUUUCUUGCUUAGAAACUGUAAUUUUCUUGCUCUUUUCUAUCUGUAAAAUUUCAUUUUUUUUGGUUCAUUUGGAUGAUGUUUAUGUAUGCAAUAAUGAAAAGACUCCAUUUUUAAGUGAUUGGGUGUUUAAUUUUUUUUUUUUUUGUGAUGAAUUUUUUAGAAUUUUAUUAUUUUGUUUUUUGUAAAAUUUUUAUUUUGGUCCAUUUUUGUUGAUGUUUAUGUAUGGAAUAGUAAAAAGAUUCUAUUUUUAAGUGAUGGGGUGUUUUUUUUUGGCCGGAAUUUUAAGAUUUUGUUUUAACGAAAUACAGAUGAUAACUAUGGAGGUGCUUUAAAGAAGGAUCAAUUUUGAAAUGGCAGGUGAUAUUGAAGAACCAUUUAGGCUUAGUUUCCAGUUAAUUGGGAAGAAAAAGGUUGAAUCUUUAUGUUCAUUGGUAAAUUGGUAACUGAGGAGCGUUUUAGAAGGAGGGCACUUCUAAGCCAGAGUUCAUCCGACUUCCAGAAUGGGGCUGAUUCUCAAGCUAGUUUUGAUGGACCUGAGAAUACAGAUUAUGAGGGGGACUUUGAGUAUGCUAAUGAGAUUGGCCAUUCUACACGCUUUGUUGAUAAUCAUGACAGAGCAGCCACUUUACUGGAGAAUGAAAAGUAUCAAGCUAGUGAAAAUGAAGGCUAUGCAGGGCACUUGGAGCUUGUUAAUGAAGUUGGCCAUUAUGCAUGUUUUGAUGAAAAUAAUCAUAGAUCAACCCGUUUAUCAAAGAAUGGAAAAUAUCAAAUCGAAAACACAGGUUAUGAUGGAGAUUUCAAGCGAGUGAAUGAGGUUGGCGAUUUUGCAUGCUUUGAGGAGAGUUUUGAUGGAUCAAACAAUAGAUACAUUGAAGUCACAGAAUGUGGCAGAGAAGGAUCAAGCAACAGAGACAUUGAAGCCACAGAACGUGGGGGAGAAGAUAGUAUAAUUUUCCAUUCUGGACGUCAGACUGAACAAUAGACCAAUAGUUCAGAUGUUCUUCAAAGUGUUCCUAAAGAUCUGGAAGUUGAAGCAAAAUUUAAUCUCAAUGCUGGAAAUGCAGCUUUUAAUGAUCCUAUACCUACAAUUGAAGUGAAAGAGAAACUAGACGGCCAAGAUAGCUUUAUCGAGUUCUCAUCAAACUCUGUUGAUCUAUCCUCUUAUGCUCACACCACUGAGAAAGAUGGAAGUAUUAGUUCAGAACCUCGGCGAAGUUCAUAUUCGAAGGAGCACCUCUUGUAGCAUUUGUGAUCCGUAAUAUUCAAUUAUUACAUCAGUUAACCAUCUUGCUUGCUGCUGCAGUGAGGACUGCAUCUCAAUCUAGAGAUACAAAAUCCAGAAUAUUAUCCCAAGUUAACAUUGCUAGUGUCAAGGGGAAAAUCUCAAAUCAAGCAUACAAAGACAUGCCAAGAAAACCAAAUAAAAGGCACAGCGAAGUUUCUUUGACACAAAAAAAAAAAAAGCCCAGAUUGAACGCACCUGGCACUCUUUUUCGUCCAACUGCCAGAAUGCCAAAACCAGAGAUAACUUGCUUUAUACAAGUUUCUGCGGGUUUAAAAGCUAAUGUACUUAGCCAACAUAAAAGUUAUGCUUCUUAAUCAUGUCUCCCAUGUUGAAAAUAUAGGAUAUUUUGGUAGCACUGAUUCAUCCUAAUUUUCCUAAUCUUGUUUAUUAUUGAAUGAUAUAGCACUGAACAACAGCCAAUAGCAAGAAAGGUUUUCACAUCUCGUGCUUCCUGUACAGAGAAAGC
RNA transcript from Capsicum annuum, 2206 nucleotides. RefSeq lists it as uncharacterized. The transcript has 4 exons. NCBI's taxonomy places the organism in Eukaryota, Viridiplantae, Streptophyta, Magnoliopsida, Solanales, Solanaceae. The record is from RefSeq and is a predicted model, not a curated record.